ACCUUGCUGACGAGUGCCAAGUAGCACGAAACCCGGGUCCAGAGAU
Molecule: non-coding RNA, 46 nt
Filed under: Schistosoma curassoni
Lineage: Eukaryota; Metazoa; Platyhelminthes; Trematoda; Strigeidida; Schistosomatidae
Source: RNAcentral